RNAcentral lists this long non-coding RNA (562 nucleotides) under Sorghum bicolor (sorghum). RNAcentral's name for it is "long non-coding RNA (SBIC_LNC004389)". Lineage: Eukaryota; Viridiplantae; Streptophyta; Magnoliopsida; Poales; Poaceae. The record is from RNAcentral.
GGCCCAAAUUGUAGACUCGUGGCAGAGGCCGGAGGCGUACAUGGAGCAUAGGAAAAGACGGGAGAACCGCCUGGCCGUGAUGAGAGAGGCGUCACACCACCAGGGGAGCGUGCCCCUCCCAGGGUACAUGGACACAUAUGUACGUUUCUUUUUUUGUUUGUUUAUUUAUUUUUGCUAACGCUUUGUUCUCAUUAUGUUUAAUCGACCUUGUGUUUUCCUCGCAGCACAAGACCCACAACAACAUGCCUAUCAGCGAGUCUGUUGGGUAUGCCCUGGCUAACAAGGAGCGAGCGUCGGAUCCGAACAACGUCUACAACCCGCAGGAUGGGUGUUGACGGUCCUUAAGUACUAAAAUUAAUAAUCAAAUAAACAUGAAAAAGGAUCAAUAUGAAACAAACAUCUAGAAUUAGGGUUUUAUCUGACAGAAUUCCACGAGCUUUGGUGUUUAUCUAUUUCUGCAGGGGGUUAUCAGAGAAUAUGGAGAGAAGGCCCACAUGUCAUGUUUACAACGAGAUAAUUACGUGCCGCGCAAUUUUCCUCAAUCUAGAAGAGUCCAGAAGCC